RNAcentral lists this long non-coding RNA (1300 nucleotides) under Salmo salar (Atlantic salmon). Its description in RNAcentral is "lncRNA (ENSSSAG00000099739.1)". The record is from RNAcentral. Lineage: Eukaryota; Metazoa; Chordata; Actinopteri; Salmoniformes; Salmonidae.
UGUGUGUGUGUGUGUGUGUGUGUGUGUGUGUGUGUGUGUGUGUGUGUGUGUGUGUGUGUGUGUGCAUGUGAAUUAAAGGGUUUGUCUAGCCCAGUAGUCUGCAUAUUAGUUGCAGUAGUUGGCGCACCUCUCCUAUCUCUGAUUGUUCUAGGUGUCUUUUGCCAGAGGUUACCUCAGCAUAUGUAGGCUGAUGAUCUGAAUGAUACAUGGUGUGGACUGUGUUGUGAUGGGCUGGAUCUAGUAGUGCUGUGUUGUGAUUGGCCUGGUCCAGUAGAGCUGUGUUGUGAUUGGCCAGGUCAAGUAGAGCUGUGUUGUGAUGGGCCUGGUCCAGUAGAGCUGUGUUGUGAUUGGCCAGGUCUCGUUUGGUAAAUCUGUGUUGUGAUGGGCCGGGUCUAGUAGAGCUGUGUUGUGAUUGGCCUGGUCCAGUAGAGCUGUGUUGUGAUUGGCCAGGUCAAGUAGUGCUGUGUUGUGAUGGGCCGGGUCUAGUAGAGCUGUGUUGUGAUUGGCCGGGUCUAGUAGAGCUGUGUUGUGAUGGGCCUGGUCCAGUAGAGCUGUGUUGUGAUUGGCCAGGUCAAGUAGUGCUGUGUUGUGAUGGGCCGGGUCUAGUAGAGCUGUGUUGUGAUUGGCCGGGUCUAGUAGAGCUGUGUUGUGAUGGGCCUGGUCUAGUAGAGCUGUGUUGUGAUGGGCCGGGUCUAGUAGAGCUGUGUUGUGAUGGGCCUGGUCUAGUAGAGCUGUGUUGUGAUGGGCCGGGUCUAGUAGAGCUGUGUUGUGAUAGACCAGGACUGGUCUGGUAAAUCUGUGUUGUGAUGGGCCUGGUCUAGUAGAGCUGUGUUGUGAUGGGACGGGUCUGGUCCAGUAGUGCUGUGUUGUGAUGGGCCUGGUCUAGUAGAACUGUGUUGUGAUGGGCCUGGUCUAGUAGAGCUGUGUUGUGAUGGGCCUGGUCUAGUAGAGCUGUGUUGUGAUGGGCCUGGUCCAGUAGAGCUGUGUUGUGAUGGGCCUGUUCUAGUAGAGCUGUGUUGUGAUGGGACUGGUCUAGUAGAGCUGUGUUGUGAUGGGACGGGUUUGGUCUGGUAAAUCUGUGCUGUGUUGGGCCUGGUCUAGUAGAGCUGUGUUGUGAUGGGACGGGUCUGGUCCAGUAGAGCUGUGUUGUGAUGGGUCUGGUCUGGUAAAUCUGUGCUAGGGUUGGGCCUGGUCUAGUAGAGCUGUGUUGUGAUGGGACGGGUCUAGUAGUGCUGUGUUGUGAUGGGCCUGGUCUAGUAGAGCUGUGCUGUAAUAAGCCGUGUCUGGCUCUUCUCUCCUG